Molecule: transfer RNA, 79 nt
Organism: Naegleria gruberi
Lineage: Eukaryota; Heterolobosea; Eutetramitea; Acrasida; Naegleriidae
Rfam family: tRNA
About the family: Transfer RNA (tRNA) molecules are approximately 80 nucleotides in length. Their secondary structure includes four short double-helical elements and three loops (D, anti-codon, and T loops).
Source: Rfam
UGGAAAUUAGCUUAGUUUGGGAGAGCAAGCUAUUGGCAAUUACAAUAGUAGGUCAUCGGUUCAAGUCCGAUAUUUCCAA